AAUGAACUUUAUACACUAUAAAUAUAUCAAAGAAUAUUCUAUGUUUUACGAUGAAAAAUAUGUCUGCAAUAAUCAAAUUUAUUUAUGCUAUGAGUUUAAUUCUUUUCAUUGCAAAUGAACAUUAUCGUGAACUUAUAUGUAAAACUGAUGACAAUUGUCCAAGACGUGGAACCAACAAAUAUUUUAUUCAUAAGUGUAUUGAUUACAGGUGUCAAUGGAUUCCUCGUUGAUUCUUUGAGUAUCACAUCUGGGAGAGUACAAUAACAUACUGGAGAAUUAUUAUAAUUUCAAAGUCUACAAUUUUAAUUUUAUGUCACAUACUCCCUAAAAAUUUAUGUCACAUAUAGAAAUAUUAUAUGUGUGUUCCACGAGUUUCACAUGAAUAUGUCUUUAGAUUUUUGUUUUUAACCAAAUAAAUAUUUUAAUAAUAUAUUUUUAUGUAAUUUUAUCGAUUAUUUUGAUUGUA
Molecule: long non-coding RNA, 466 nt
Organism: Medicago truncatula (barrel medic)
Lineage: Eukaryota; Viridiplantae; Streptophyta; Magnoliopsida; Fabales; Fabaceae
Exons: 2
Source: RefSeq, a predicted model, not a curated record